RNAcentral lists this long non-coding RNA (1147 nucleotides) under Ailuropoda melanoleuca (giant panda). RNAcentral describes it as "lncRNA (ENSAMEG00000024743.1)". The record is from RNAcentral. Lineage: Eukaryota; Metazoa; Chordata; Mammalia; Carnivora; Ursidae.
CUGAAAACAGAUCCCCGCCCUUCCCGCCAGGAGCAUCUGGGGCCACGACACAGUGUUUCCCUCUACUCCACCUCACACCUGGGUUAACACCUGGGCCGAUGUCAUUUUUCCACCUUUCAGGUUUACGGUUGUCCCUUCAGUGGAAUCAAAACCACAGAUUUACUCAACGCUGUGGCUCUGGACCAGACAGUGUCCUUGAGCAACAUGGUUCUUCUAUGCUUCCCCCCACCCUUAGCUACCACCUGAAGAUCUGAGCCGGUGGAGAGAACGUGGCUUCUUGGGAGAGAGGCAGAGGCGUGCUGAAAACCCACUGCAGCUGCUCUCCACACCUGGGAUACAUCUCAUCAGGACCUAAUGCGUCAGCUGUCCCAAAACAAGGCGAGAGUCCCUUCCUCGCCCAAGGAAAGCUUCACAGGUGAGGGCAGAGGUUCCUGAAGAGCAAAGUGGGUUCUGGCUGAGGCUGAGUCAGUGAUCAGCUUGGCUGGCCUUUGGCUCUGUCCACCUUGCUUGCUCUGGGGAGGUGCACGGCGUGAAUGGAGAUGCAGAAAUGCUUCGUGAUUCCUGUAUUCCAAGAAGAAAGGUGGUCUGCAGGGUCAUUCUACAACCUCCUUUUGCACAGUCAUCACAAUGCCCUACCAAGCCAAAAAUCCUGUGAGAUCCUUCCUCCAGAAUCAGAGACCAUUUCUCCAGCAAGCUUUUCAACAGGAUUUUAACUCUUCUGUCAGCUGGCAAAAACACUGAACCAGCAGAUUGAAAACACACAGUGUCCCCUAAGAGAAGAUGCUCACCAGAGGACACCCUCAUGGCCCCAGGUGAAUCACCCCCAUCAGCGCAGCACUGCCAGACCUGACAGAGGAGAAGAGAAGCAUGACUGACGUUUCUGUGAAGAGUCCAGGAGAAAGACAAUCUCUCAAAGGUGCUCGUUUCUGGAAAAUACAUUCUGGGUAGAAUUGGAAGAGUUUGGGUUCUGUCAAGUUUAUACAAGCAGAGAGAAAUCAGCCAUGCAUACAGAUUUUUUUAUUUGUCUGAAUGGAAAGAAAAGUGUACGAAUCUUUCCCAGGCUUCUGAGAUGCUUGAAGAUGCAAUUGAAAAGCUUGCUUACCAUCUUGUCUGGAUAAGUUACAGCAUAAGAUUAACACAGAGCAAG